Molecule: ribosomal RNA, 656 nt
Filed under: Pantoea sp.
Lineage: Bacteria; Pseudomonadati; Pseudomonadota; Gammaproteobacteria; Enterobacterales; Erwiniaceae
Description: bacterial SSU rRNA
Rfam family: Bacterial small subunit ribosomal RNA
Source: RNAcentral
UUCCUUGAGGAGUGGCUUCCGGAGCUAACGCGUUAAGUCGACCGCCUGGGGAGUACGGCCGCAAGGUUAAAACUCAAAUGAAUUGACGGGGGCCCGCACAAGCGGUGGAGCAUGUGGUUUAAUUCGAUGCAACGCGAAGAACCUUACCUACUCUUGACAUCCACGGAAUUUGGCAGAGAUGCCUUGGUGCCUUCGGGAACCSUGAGACAGGUGCUGCAUGGCUGUCGUCAGCUCGUGUUGUGAAAUGUUGGGUUAAGUCCCGCAACGAGCGCAACCCUUAUCCUUUGUUGCCAGCGAUUCGGUCGGGAACUCAAAGGAGACUGCCGGUGAUAAACCGGAGGAAGGUGGGGAUGACGUCAAGUCAUCAUGGCCCUUACGAGUAGGGCUACACACGUGCUACAAUGGCGCAUACAAAGAGAAGCGACCUCGCGAGAGCAAGCGGACCUCACAAAGUGCGUCGUAGUCCGGAUCGGAGUCUGCAACUCGACUCCGUGAAGUCGGAAUCGCUAGUAAUCGUGGAUCAGAAUGCCACGGUGAAUACGUUCCCGGGCCUUGUACACACCGCCCGUCACACCAUGGGAGUGGGUUGCAAAAGAAGUAGGUAGCUUAACCUUCGGGAGGGCGCUUACCACUUUGUGAUUCAUGACUGGGGUGAA